Molecule: ribosomal RNA, 427 nt
Filed under: uncultured bacterium
Lineage: Bacteria
Description: partial 16S ribosomal RNA
Rfam family: Bacterial small subunit ribosomal RNA
Source: RNAcentral
UGGGGAAUAUUGGACAAUGGGCGAAAUCCUGAUCCAGCCAUGCCGCGUGUGUGAAGAAGGUCUUCGGAUUGUAAAGCACUUUAAGUUGGGAGGAAGGGCAUUAACCUAAUACGUUAGUGUUUUGACGUUACCGACAGAAUAAGCACCGGCUAACUCUGUGCCAGCAGCCGCGGUAAUACAGAGGGUGCAAGCGUUAAUCGGAAUUACUGGGCGUAAAGCGCGCGUAGGUGGUUUGUUAAGUUGGAUGUGAAAGCCCCGGGCUCAACCUGGGAACUGCAUCCAAAACUGGCAAGCUAGAGUACGGUAGAGGGUGGUGGAAUUUCCUGUGUAGCGGUGAAAUGCGUAGAUAUAGGAAGGAACACCAGUGGCGAAGGCGACCACCUGGACUGAUACUGACACUGAGGUGCGAAAGCGUGGGGAGCAAACA